Molecule: small nucleolar RNA, 73 nt
Organism: Lactuca sativa (garden lettuce)
Lineage: Eukaryota; Viridiplantae; Streptophyta; Magnoliopsida; Asterales; Asteraceae
Product: small nucleolar RNA Z105
Source: RefSeq, a predicted model, not a curated record
AGAACAUGUUGAUGAUUGUUUAAUUAUUCCGAAAAAUUCAUGAAUGGAAUAACAAACCUCCUACUCAUUCUGA